GCAAGAUUAAAACUCAAAGGAAUAGACGGGGACCCACACAAGCAGUGGAUCACGUGGUUUAAUUCGACAAUAAACGGGGAAUCUCACCCAGACUUGACAUCCUGAGAAUCUUUGAGAAAUCAGAGAGUGCCUCUACGGGAACUCAGUGACAGGUGCUGCAUGGUUGUCGUCAGCUCGUGCCUUGAGGUGUUCGGUUAAGUCCGUUAACGAGCGCAACCCAUGUCCUUAGUUACUAUGUCUAAGGAGACUGCCUUGGUUAACAAGGAGGAAGGUGUGGAUGACGUCAAAUCAGCAUGGCUUUUACGUCUGGGGCUACACACAUGAUACAAUGGUAUGUACAAAGAGCAGCAAUAUCGCGAGAUGGAGCCAAUCUUCAAAGCAUAUCUCAGUCCGGAUUGGAGUCUGAAACUCGACUCCAUGAAGUUGGAAUUGCUAGUAAUCGUGAAUCAGAUAUGUCACGGUGAAUGUGUUCCUGGGUCUUGUA
Molecule: ribosomal RNA, 484 nt
Filed under: uncultured Campylobacterota bacterium
Lineage: Bacteria; Pseudomonadati; Campylobacterota
Description: bacterial SSU rRNA
Rfam family: Bacterial small subunit ribosomal RNA
Source: RNAcentral